GGCUCAGGACGAACGCUGGCGGCGUGCCUAACACAUGCAAGUCGAGCGAGGAGAUCCUCGGGAUGAUCCUAGCGGCGGACGGGUGAGUAACACGUGGGCAACCUGCCUCAUAGAGAGGAAUAGCCUUCCGAAAGGGAGAUUAAUACCUCAUAACAUUGCAGUUUCGCAUGGAACAGCAAUUAAAGGAGUAAUCCGCUAUGAGAUGGGCCCGCGGCGCAUUAGCUAGUUGGUGAGGUAAUGGCUCACCAAGGCGACGAUGCGUAGCCGACCUGAGAGGGUGAUCGGCCACAUUGGGACUGAGACACGGCCCAGACUCCUACGGGAGGCAGCAGUGGGGAAUAUUGCACAAUGGGGGAAACCCUGAUGCAGCAACGCCGCGUGAGUGAUGACGGCCUUCGGGUUGUAAAGCUCUGUCUUCAGGGACGAUAAUGACGGUACCUGAGGAGGAAGCCACGGCUAACUACGUGCCAGCCGCGGC
This 478-nucleotide ribosomal RNA is filed under the name uncultured bacterium. RNAcentral's name for it is "bacterial SSU rRNA". It matches the Rfam family "Bacterial small subunit ribosomal RNA", at positions 21 to 518 of the family's 1533-position model. The record is from RNAcentral.